Haemorhous mexicanus (house finch) is the source of this 389-nucleotide long non-coding RNA. RefSeq lists it as uncharacterized. The transcript has 2 exons. NCBI's taxonomy places the organism in Eukaryota, Metazoa, Chordata, Aves, Passeriformes, Fringillidae. The record is from RefSeq and is a predicted model, not a curated record.
GGCAGCCAGGCUCUGCCAGCCCCGGCGGGAUCAUCCCGUUCCUGAGCCGCGCUAAUUAAUGCCGGCGGCUUCCCCCGAGCCUGAGCCCCCGGGGGCGCUCCCCGCUCCCCGCGGGAUGCGGCGGGGACGGGAGCGGGACAGCGGCAACAGACCGUAGUUUUCUCGGAGCUCCACAGUCUCCUCUCUUUGAAGUUGGACAGAUACAGUAAACACAACAAAUAUAUGAUACAACCCAUCACAGCUGGAUUAAAAAAAAAUACACAAAAAAUAUAAUACAUAAAAAAAUGGAUUUUUAACAUUGUGGACUGACGCAGCUCUAAAAAUGGUGAUUGUAACCCUGGUAAGCUUUACAAAGUCUUUAAAAAAAUAAAACAGUACUUCAUGUGAAA